RNAcentral lists this ribosomal RNA (1284 nucleotides) under Bacillus sp. NSJ-9. RNAcentral describes it as "bacterial SSU rRNA". It matches the Rfam family "Bacterial small subunit ribosomal RNA", at positions 81 to 1351 of the family's 1533-position model. Lineage: Bacteria; Bacillati; Bacillota; Bacilli; Caryophanales; Bacillaceae. The record is from RNAcentral.
GCUCCCUGAUGUUAGCGGCGGACGGGUGAGUAACACGUGGGUAACCUGCCUGUAAGACUGGGAUAACUCCGGGAAACCGGGGCUAAUACCGGAUGGUUGUUUGAACCGCAUGGUUCAGACAUAAAAGGUGGCUUCGGCUACCACUUACAGAUGGACCCGCGGCGCAUUAGCUAGUUGGUGAGGUAACGGCUCACCAAGGCGACGAUGCGUAGCCGACCUGAGAGGGUGAUCGGCCACACUGGGACUGAGACACGGCCCAGACUCCUACGGGAGGCAGCAGUAGGGAAUCUUCCGCAAUGGACGAAAGUCUGACGGAGCAACGCCGCGUGAGUGAUGAAGGUUUUCGGAUCGUAAAGCUCUGUUGUUAGGGAAGAACAAGUGCCGUUCAAAUAGGGCGGCACCUUGACGGUACCUAACCAGAAAGCCACGGCUAACUACGUGCCAGCAGCCGCGGUAAUACGUAGGUGGCAAGCGUUGUCCGGAAUUAUUGGGCGUAAAGGGCUCGCAGGCGGUUUCUUAAGUCUGAUGUGAAAGCCCCCGGCUCAACCGGGGAGGGUCAUUGGAAACUGGGGAACUUGAGUGCAGAAGAGGAGAGUGGAAUUCCACGUGUAGCGGUGAAAUGCGUAGAGAUGUGGAGGAACACCAGUGGCGAAGGCGACUCUCUGGUCUGUAACUGACGCUGAGGAGCGAAAGCGUGGGGAGCGAACAGGAUUAGAUACCCUGGUAGUCCACGCCGUAAACGAUGAGUGCUAAGUGUUAGGGGGUUUCCGCCCCUUAGUGCUGCAGCUAACGCAUUAAGCACUCCGCCUGGGGAGUACGGUCGCAAGACUGAAACUCAAAGGAAUUGACGGGGGCCCGCACAAGCGGUGGAGCAUGUGGUUUAAUUCGAAGCAACGCGAAGAACCUUACCAGGUCUUGACAUCCUCUGACAAUCCUAGAGAUAGGACGUCCCCUUCGGGGGCAGAGUGACAGGUGGUGCAUGGUUGUCGUCAGCUCGUGUCGUGAGAUGUUGGGUUAAGUCCCGCAACGAGCGCAACCCUUGAUCUUAGUUGCCAGCAUUCAGUUGGGCACUCUAAGGUGACUGCCGGUGACAAACCGGAGGAAGGUGGGGAUGACGUCAAAUCAUCAUGCCCCUUAUGACCUGGGCUACACACGUGCUACAAUGGACAGAACAAAGGGCAGCGAAACCGCGAGGUUAAGCCAAUCCCACAAAUCUGUUCUCAGUUCGGAUCGCAGUCUGCAACUCGACUGCGUGAAGCUGGAAUCGCUAGUAAUCGCGGAUCA